This 420-nucleotide ribosomal RNA is filed under the name Amolops siju. Its description in RNAcentral is "partial large subunit ribosomal RNA". It matches the Rfam family "Bacterial large subunit ribosomal RNA", at positions 1930 to 2516 of the family's 2925-position model. The record is from RNAcentral. Lineage: Eukaryota; Metazoa; Chordata; Amphibia; Anura; Ranidae.
ACCGCGGGAGCCCUGUCCGAUGUGAAAGGAUAGCACAAUCACUUGUUCUUUAAAUGAGGACUAGUAUCAACGGCACCACGAGGACUACACUGUCUCCCCUCUUUAAUCAGUGAAACUGAUCUCCCCGUGAAGAAGCGGGGAUUUUUUUAUAAGACGAGAAGACCCCAUGGAGCUUUAAACCCAAUGCAUAACCCAACAUAUAAAUCAAUAUAACCUGAAAGUAUCUGCAUUGGUUUUAGGUUGGGGAGACCGCGGAGUAUAACUAAACCUCCACAACAAACGGGCUUAUACCCUGAUCUACGAACUACAAUUCUAAGAGCCAAAAAAUUGUUGCCCAUGACCCAAUCACUUGAUUAAUGAACCAAGUUACCCUGGGGAUAACAGCGCAAUCUACUUUAAGAGUUCAUAUCGACAAGUGGG